UACAGAGGGUGCGAGCGUUGUCCGGAAUCACUGGGCGUAAAGGGCGCGUAGGUGGCGCCGCAAGUCCAUGGUGAAAGCUCGAUGCUCAACAUCGAGUCGGCCACGGAGACUGCGGGGCUCGAGCACUGUAGGGGCAGAUGGAAUUCCGGGUGUAGCGGUGGAAUGCGCAGAUAUCAGGAGGAACACCAAUGGCGAAGGCAGCUCGCUGGGACGGUACUGACGCUGAGACGCGAAAGCGUGGGGAGCAAACAGG
RNAcentral lists this ribosomal RNA (253 nucleotides) under uncultured bacterium. RNAcentral's name for it is "partial 16S ribosomal RNA". It matches the Rfam family "Bacterial small subunit ribosomal RNA", at positions 524 to 776 of the family's 1533-position model. The record is from RNAcentral.